Paramormyrops kingsleyae is the source of this 2224-nucleotide long non-coding RNA. RefSeq lists it as uncharacterized. The record is from RefSeq and is a predicted model, not a curated record. NCBI's taxonomy places the organism in Eukaryota, Metazoa, Chordata, Actinopteri, Osteoglossiformes, Mormyridae.
CUCCAGAUGCCCUCCUUAUUUUCUUAAGUCACCUUCGUUAAAUAACGAAUUUAUAAGUUUUAAAAGAAAAGCUUAUGUUUCUGAGUUCAUCAGAUUGCACUUGUAAUUCCGACAAUACCACGGAGCGACGUGAAAUGAUUCUCAUGUCUCGCUGAUUCCUGAUUAGGCUUCUGCUGAUUAAUGCGCAUCCUCGUUCGGUUUACUAAUUAAACUGAUUAUAGGAAGUAAUGCAUAGAUUGUCGUAAGAAACAUUACGGCGCAAACACCGCAGUAUGUCCGCUGUCAUGUCUCCUUUGGCGCCUUUCAUCCCGAAACCUUUUACCCGUAGUUUUUAAAGCGCCUGUCCUUCCGUCCAGGCAGUUUGUCGGAAUUUGGGAUUUAUCUUAAUUCGUACUAUUAAUAUUUUCACGUGUUAAGCGACCAUCCUCUAUUUCUGCUACACACCGGGGUUACAGAUUAGCCUACCGUAGAUACCAUAUCAAUUCCUGCAUUAAACGUACAACUACUUGGGGCCAGGAUACUUCAAAUAUAAUUACCAGGGGAUCGGGGACUCGAUUAAUGAAAAUGAACCAGUGAGGAAUCUCCAGCAGAAGGUUCUGGAAUCUAACAAAUCUGGGUGUGAGUGAAGGGCUCUCUCCCCUUGGACCUACAUUCCCAGGCCCCUUGCGGAGGAUCCCUGGCUGGCUAAUCUCACGCAGCCCUCUCUCGCUGCCCCUCUGCCUUCCUCUCUCGCCCUCACUUCUCCUCUCCUGUGGCAGGUAAACCGCCCGCCUUUGUUUAGAAGCCGAGAAUCCUGGCUGAUGUUCGCCGGCACCUCGGCCUGCGAGCAGCUGCUGUUCCAUCACGUAUCAUUACGGCUGUAUUCCAUUUUCCGCAUGGCGAAUCGUCCGCACCUGUCGGAGCACGUUUUUCCACCGGCCGUCCGGAGCCCAUCGUCAGCAGCCGCCCAAGAAAACGGCCCUUUUAGGCUGAAGAGGCUCGCAACUCCUGUCAGAAGAAGAACUUUCCAACAUUCAUCAGGGAGGCCGAGUGGGAGCUGGACAGCAUUCUGGGGAGGGGGGAGCGCGGGGCGUGUGACCUGGGUAAUCUCUCUCGUGCAUGCACUCACACACAUUCACACUCACACACGCUCGCACACACACACACACACACACAGUCUCCUCCAGCGGUGCUGUCCCACUAGGAUCUCUGGCUUAAGAAGGACAGGACGUGCAGCGCUGAGGAAUUCCAGCCAGGAGCUCCACCCAAACCGUCAUAUCAGUGCCUGUUUAUUAUUUAGGUCACCUUGCGUGGUGCCAUAUUGGGCACGAAGUGAAUAAAUGAUUAAGGCUGAGAUGUUCAGUGUUCUGCACUGCACACACACAGACACAGAGUGGGACACAGAUCCACGGGGCACUGGAUGGGGUUAUCGCAGUGUGGCCUCGACAGCCACUCAGGCGUGUGAUUGGUCGAGGAGAAACGGAAAAAAAAAAGGCAAACCCAUAACACUGUCUGAGGCCUGUGAUCAGAUUAUCAAUCAAAAUAUGAUUAUUUUUACAGUAAACAUGUAUGUCAUUUAAUCCUAACUAUCUUCCAGUAUCCACAUAUUGGAAAGGAAAGACAACCCACUCCAUUUGUAAUGACGACGUCCUGGCAGGACUGCGUAAGGCACAGUGGCACAUUCUCAGGCAUGGGCAUUAAAAAUACAUAUUACAGCCGUGUAAGGAAAGCGAUGCGUUUGAUCACGCAGCAUACAGCGCCCUGCCGCUCGUUAAGGGCCGACCUUGUAACUAAAUACUGCUGUUUCAGGCUCCUGCGAGGCCUCAGCGCUGCCUAAGGCUGCUGAAUGUAUGUGCCAAGAUGGAGACCAUGUGACUCUGUUUCACCGCUUUCGUUAAGUGUGUUUUGGCUCUGUAAUCCCAGGCCUCACACAGGACAGGAUCUCUCGCCAAAUGCCGUCCUGUGUCACCUGUCCGUCUCUCCUCGCAAGCCAGUUUAUACCCGGUGACUUAACAGGAGAAGAGGCGGGGUGAGGGUGGCCCUUUAAGGAGACUAAUUCAGCCGGGUUACGGCAGCCGUGCCACCUGUUUGCCCGACCCUGUUGCAGGUUUUUGUGUCGCUAUCUUUGGAAUCUGGAGAAUAUUCUAAUUUCGUCUCUGGGAAAAGCUCUGAAUAGGAUGUAAAUUAGUCACCCCAAUAGUGCCUAAGCGAUUGUUUUUAGCACAAACACCCUGAAUAGCAAAUG